UACGUAGGGUGCGAGCGUUGUCCGGAAUUAUUGGGCGUAAAGAGCUCGUAGGCGGUCUGUCGCGUCGGUCGUGAAAACUUGGGGCUUAACCCUGAGCUUGCGGUCGAUACGGGCAUGACUGGAGUUCGGCAGGGGAGACUGGAAUUCCUGGUGUAGCGGUGAAAUGCGCAGAUAUCAGGAGGAACACCGGUGGCGAAGGCGGGUCUCUGGGCCGAUACCGACGCUGAGGAGCGAAAGCGUGGGGAGCAAACAGG
This 254-nucleotide ribosomal RNA is filed under the name uncultured bacterium. RNAcentral's name for it is "partial 16S ribosomal RNA". It matches the Rfam family "Bacterial small subunit ribosomal RNA", at positions 524 to 776 of the family's 1533-position model. The record is from RNAcentral.